CAGCUGAGAGAUGGGACAAGAAGGAUGGCAGCAGGGUGGGGCAUGGAGCAUACAUGGGAUUCUAUCAAGAAUGUCUGUGGUAGGAGCAGCUGUGGCUCCAGGGCAGGCUGGGCGCCUGACCAGCGGGGGCAGAGGAUAGCCGGCAGGAGCUGGCUAGCUUUGUUCACAGAGGAACAGAGAAGCAGGGCAUCCUUAAGGCACAAAAGUCUGGGAGGGCCAGGGGCCCGGGUCUCAUGGGAAGGACAGCUGCUCUCCAGGGAGCUGUUCCUUCUGCAGAGGUGCGCAGUCCCUGGGUCCGGGUCCCCUCACUUGGAUCCACCUUCGUCUUGCACCCUGACGGCACAGCACACAGGGACUACGAGGCCUUGGACCCCGGCCUUGUGUUCCUUACAGUCUUGCAGGGCUGGGCAUCUAGUAUGUUCCCAGUCCUUACGGCCACUCAGCACCCAGUGCCCAUCCAGGAAGAACGACCUUCUACAAGCAAAGUUCUGCUUCAUGUCCAGCCAGCCAUAUUCAAUGAGUGAGGCUGUCCUGUGGCUUUGGAGCCAUGGAGGCUGCUCCAUGCCUCAGCAGGCCUGGAAGGGGUCUCCAAGCUGCCACUGUUCAGAGAGGUUGAGCCCCCUCCCCCAGGGCCCUGCCCCGGAGGCUCACAGCAGUUGUCCUGGCCCCCACCUGCCCCCAGUCCCCUCUCAGCCCCGGUGGCUGGCAUCUGCUUUAUCGGGGCUUCUCCAGAGGGACAACUGGCUUGUGUCACAGGCUUGUUCCCUGCAUAUCUUGCAGGUUUUAAAUAGCUUAUCUGAGCAGCUGGGAGACCACAUGGGCUUAUAUGGUGAGGGGGUACAAUCUCCUUUAGCCCUGUCCCUGACACCUGCCAAAAUAGCAGGAGACACCCCCACCCCCAAUGCCACCCUGGUCCCCCUCCCCAUGCAUUCCGACCCCCGCAGGGCUAGCUCACAAAGCCCAGCCCACAUGCCUGCCUAAAGCCCUGCUCAGCCUGGCCCUCUCCCAGUGCCGCAGAGACUGAGUAGACAGCUUCAACUCCUGUGCUGAGGAGGAGCAGCGACCAUGUCUGACUUGGAAGAGGUGGUGGAGGAAUACGAGGAGUGAGUAUUGGGGCUUCCUGCCACCAGGACUGUCUCCUCCCCACACACCCCUUGCACCUGCCCCAGGUGUCCCCAGGGCAGAAGUGGCUGGGCCUAUUUUCAGAACCUGUGGGGAAAUUUGACCCUUCCCUCCCACCACCACCCCUUUCCCGAGGUAUUCAAAGGCAGAGGCUCCAUGCAAGGGUCACUGGGUUUGACCCAGUGAAAGGACUGGCUACCAGCAGAAUGGGGUCUCUGGAAUUGAGCCAGAACACCUGUUCCGAGGCCCCAGAGCCCAUUAGGCCCCAUGGCAUGGGACUGAGACUCAGAUUCCUGCUUUGCCCAAAGGUGCUGCCCUGCCACCUUCGUAGAAUGCCCUCUCCCUUCAGGGCACUCAGAUGGGACAUGCUGGGAGGGACUGGCAAUUAGGGGGUGCAGGGGAAGGGAGUGCAGCAGUGUGGGGUGCAGGGAGGCACCUGCCAUUCAUGUGUGAUUUGCAGGAGAGAGUUGGGGAGAAGGAAGAAAUUUCUAGAAAGGGAGCACCCUGGGGAGAGUUCAGGGAUGAGUCCCUGGCAGAAAGCAGCAGAGACCAUCAGGCUGCCCAUGGACUGGUGGGGACAGUGUCUGGGAGCCCUGGAUGGACAGUAGGGUCAGGGUGGGCCGAGCCAGCAGGGAGGGAGAGAAAUCCUAGGGUGACACCCUGGGCACAAAGUGGUGCACGUUUGUGUCUGAUUGACACCAUCCUCUUAUACACACAGGGAAGGUGAGUAGCCCUGUGUGUUCACUGGGGCUGAGGACCGUGUGGUUCGAGGCUGACUCACCUCUUCUCUCUUUCGUGGUCCCAACCUUGUCUUGUGAGCAGAGGCAGCCAUGGGAG
Molecule: RNA transcript, 1959 nt
Organism: Ochotona princeps (American pika)
Lineage: Eukaryota; Metazoa; Chordata; Mammalia; Lagomorpha; Ochotonidae
Gene: TNNT2
Gene name: troponin T2, cardiac type
Exons: 2
Source: RefSeq, a predicted model, not a curated record